RNAcentral lists this long non-coding RNA (301 nucleotides) under Mytilus galloprovincialis (Mediterranean mussel). The record is from RNAcentral. Lineage: Eukaryota; Metazoa; Mollusca; Bivalvia; Mytilida; Mytilidae.
GCUGUGUCAUGUGUACUAUUGUUUGUCUGUUUGUCUUUUUCAUUUUUAGCCAUGGCGUUGUCAGUUUAUUUUCGAUUUAUGAGUUUGACUGUCCCUUUGGUAUCUUUGGUCCCUCUUUUAAGACUUAGUUGUUUGGUGGGGUUUGUGCUUCUCUAUCGGGAAUAUUUUGAUAACAGUGUUUUUGUGCCUAUUUUUUUUAUUCCACCAGGUAUCUUUUUUGUGAUUGGUUUUAUCUUAAAAAAACUCUUCUGUAUAUGUACAGAUCUUAAAUAUCAAUUCAAACACUAGUCCAUAACAUUCC